RNAcentral lists this ribosomal RNA (779 nucleotides) under uncultured bacterium. RNAcentral describes it as "bacterial SSU rRNA". It matches the Rfam family "Bacterial small subunit ribosomal RNA", at positions 8 to 803 of the family's 1533-position model. The record is from RNAcentral.
AGAGUUUGAUCAUGGCUCAGGAUGAACGCUGGCGGCGUGCCUAAUACAUGCAAGUCGAACGGGGUGUUUGAGCAAUCGGACACUUAGUGGCGAACGGGUGAGUAACGCGUUGGUGACCUACCCCAAAGCGGGGGAUAACAGCCUGAAAGGGUUGCUAAUACCGCAUAUAGUCUAGAGGGCUUAGAAGCUUUAGAUAAAAGGAGAAAUCCACUUUGGGAGGGGCCUGCGUCCCAUCAGCUAGUUGGUAGGGUAAAAGCCUACCAAGGCGAUGACGGGUAGGGGACCUGAGAGGGUGACCCCCCACAAUGGAACUGAAACACGGUCCAUACACCUACGGGUGGCAGCAGUAGGGAAUAUUGCACAAUGGGCGAAAGCCUGAUGCAGCAACGCCGCGUGAGUGAUGAAGGCCUUCGGGUUGUAAAACUCUUUUCAAGAGGAAGAGGAAGGACGGUACUCUUGGAAUAAGCCUCGGCUAACUACGUGCCAGCAGCCGCGGUAACACGUAGGAGGCGAGCGUUAUUCGGAUUUACUGGGCGUAAAGCGCGUGUAGGCGGCUCUAUAAGUUGGAUGUAAAAGCUCCCGGCUUAACUGGGAGAGGACGUUCAAAACUAUAGAGCUUGAGUACGAGAGAGGAAAAUGGAAUUCCGGGUGUAGUGGUGAAAUGCGUAGAUAUCCGGAGGAACACCAGUGGCGAAGGCGAUUUUCUGGCUCGAGACUGACGCUCAGACGCGAAAGCUAGGGUAGCAAACGGGAUUAGAGACCCCGGUAGUCCUAGCUGU